UACGUAGGGUGCGAGCGUUAAUCGGAAUUACUGGGCGUAAAGCGUGCGCAGGCGGCUUUGCAAGACAGAUGUGAAAUCCCCGGGCUUAACCUGGGAACUGCAUUUGUGACUGCAUGGCUGGAGUGCGGCAGAGGGGGAUGGAAUUCCGCGUGUAGCAGUGAAAUGCGUAGAUAUGCGGAGGAACACCGAUGGCGAAGGCAGCCCCCUGGGCUGAGAUUGACGCUCAGGCACGAAAGCGUGGGGAGCAAACAGG
Molecule: ribosomal RNA, 253 nt
Filed under: uncultured bacterium
Lineage: Bacteria
Description: partial 16S ribosomal RNA
Rfam family: Bacterial small subunit ribosomal RNA
Source: RNAcentral